CAAAAAAACUAAUAAUUGGUCGAGCCAGAUGUAUACCAUGUUCUUGGGAUCGGUGGUAUGUUCCUUUGGUGAGACAGAUAACAUAUUAUCAUUGCUUCUUUCAAAUUCAAUAAGUGGUUUAACCACAUUGCUUUAUUUCUAUAAAUAAGUGAUCUGAUCACAAGUUUAAGUCCUUGUUCUCGGGAUCAAGCUUUCUUUAGGAACCUUUUGGCACAAUCAUCAUUUGAACUUUUUGAUCCACU
This 242-nucleotide long non-coding RNA is filed under the name Hordeum vulgare. RNAcentral's name for it is "long non-coding RNA (HVUL_LNC003804)". The record is from RNAcentral. Lineage: Eukaryota; Viridiplantae; Streptophyta; Magnoliopsida; Poales; Poaceae.